CUUCACUCGAGGAACUACCGGUGAGUGCCAAUUUGGGUCAGAGUUGCUUAGCAACAAAGAUCAAUGCACCCGGGCUUUGUAGUUUUGGGUGGUUCCGCCACAGUCCGGGGCCUGAAGCCGGCACUAGUUGUCCCAAGAAGCCGAGGACAACUGUACGGAAUAGGAGGAUCAGCAGUGAAGUCAGCCCUGGACCUGUGCCUAAGCAGAGGCGAGUUGUUGAGGAGAGGGCUCAUGCUACUGCUGCUCCUGAUAUGGCGGAGUCGUCGAGGAGGACUGGUGAAAUGGGAUCGCAACCUUCGGAGGAGGUCCCAGUUGGUGAGCCCAUCGUUCCUCCUUACAAUGGUUCGAAGGUUCUUCCAAUUGCUCGACUGCUUCACGCGGAUAAGGCAGUAGGUAUCUUGCCAGAAGUUGAAGAGGCGGAGUCGCUUCGAAUGUUAUCAUGGAGAGCAGCUUGAGGAUGAUCUGCAGUUGACGGCUGGAAACAUGAAGAAAUUCCAGGCCGUUGUUCGGAAAUUCACCAAGUUCUCUGUGCAAAUGGUCAACCGGUCAUAUUUGAAGUCACAGAAAUUGAAGGCGACUGAAGCGGAUCGCCGAAAGAUCAUUCUGCUGGAGGCGGAGAAUGCUGCUUUGAAGAAGGAUAAAACCGCCCUCGAGCAGAAGAUCAAAAUGUUGAAGGAAGUGAUUCAGAAGAAUUGAGGUAACUUCCUGUGCUUUCUUUGUUGUGAGGUUCUGUUGACGCUCCUUAGCGCCACAAUUUGUAUACC
Molecule: long non-coding RNA, 764 nt
Organism: Panicum virgatum (switchgrass)
Lineage: Eukaryota; Viridiplantae; Streptophyta; Magnoliopsida; Poales; Poaceae
Exons: 3
Source: RefSeq, a predicted model, not a curated record